GAUAACAAAUGGUAAUUAAAGAAAAAGGGGAAAUUUGACAGAGGAACUUUAUCAACUAAAUAAUAAGGAGAUGAGUGAGACUAAGAUGGAUGAAAUCUCUGAAAUGAUGCUUGCAAAUUUUGGGAACAAUGUUUAAAAAAA
Chiloscyllium plagiosum (whitespotted bambooshark) is the source of this 141-nucleotide non-coding RNA. The record is from RefSeq and is a predicted model, not a curated record. NCBI's taxonomy places the organism in Eukaryota, Metazoa, Chordata, Chondrichthyes, Orectolobiformes, Hemiscylliidae.